UCACAGCAGUUAUUAUAAAAAGUGACGUUUUUCAGGAGAGGACGUUUUCAAUUUGUCAAAGUUUUUAAGAAAAAUUAUUAAAUUUUCUGUUUUCUUGGUUCAAAAACAGUAAAACGCAUUCUUGUUCGGAAGGACCAUCCGACAAUAUGAAUUCGGCUGUUGACCCAUGGGUUAUAACGUCUCGGGAACGAGUGAAAUACUUGGAACAAUUCAAGUCAUUGCAACCAAUUAAUGGAAUUGUUACUGGACAACAAGCACGAGGGUUUUUUCUACAAUCACAAUUGCCUCCAUUAAUAUUGGGGCAGAUAUGGGCUCUGGCUGACACUGAUUCCGACGGUAAAAUGAACAUCGAUGAGUUUAGCAUCGCGUGCAAAUUAAUCAAUUUGAAAUUGCGUGGAUUUGAGGUGCCAGCCGCAUUACCGCCGGUACUAAUUGCAUCGUUAUCAGCAGUCGGUGGUACGCCAACUCUAACACCAACUGGUGCUGGAAGCUUAAGCCCAUUGGAUCCAUUGAAAUCGUUGGUGAAUCCACCUGUAAACCAUGCAAUGCCACCCGGACGUCCCCCAAUGCCCAUGCAAGCGGUUUUACCGCAAGCAAUCGUUCCUCCAAUGCCAGCACAACAAGCCAUGCCAAUCAUACCGCCAGCAAUGUCUCAACCAUUAAUACCUGGAAUGGGUGUCAUGCCGCAAAUGACACAGCCAUACAUGCCUGUUGGUGGUCCGCCAGUUGUAAUGUCUCAACCACUUAUGCAACCUGGUGCAAUUCCCUAUAUGCCCGUCACUCAGCCUUUGAUUCAGCCAACAGCAUCAGUAGUUGCACCAACUAUGGGACUGGAUUUACUCGGAAACAAAUUGCCAUCGCCUGUCGAAACGGCAGCUGCAAAUACUAGUUUACCAGCCCCACCUACACCGCCAAGUGGCACGCCGAGUCGUGCUAUGUCGAUUUCAGAAAAGCAACCAUCGUUAGAUUCACCAAGCGCUGCCUCUGGUCAAUUGGAAUGGGCCAUUAAAAGUCAAGCAAAACUAAAGUACACACAACUGUUCAACACAACCGAUCGCAACAGAACUGGCUAUUUGACUGGACCUCAGGCUAGGAAUUUGUUGCUUCAGUCACAGUUACCGCAUGGGAUUUUAGCACAGAUCUGGGGACUUGCCGACAUGGAUACUGACGGACGACUGGGAUGCGAAGAGUUUGUGUUAGCUAUGUAUUUGUGUGAUAUGGCUACUCAAGGUGAUCCAAUACCGACAACACUGCCUCCAGAGUUGAUACCACCGUCAUUCCGUAAAAGUUCUCGUCAGGGAUCCAUAACUGGAGUAGUCGUCGGUUCACGACAUGGAUCAGUUUCAUCGCAAGGUGUAGCUAGUGUCAAUGAAUCAGAUCCCAGUUGUGGCUUGCCCGGACAAACAUCUUUUGAGGACAAACGUAAGGAAAACUAUGACAAGGGUCAGGCGGAGCUGGAACGACGCAGGAAAGUGUUGUUAGACGCUCAGCGAAAGGAACAAGAAGAACGCGAACGCAAAGAACGAGAAGAGUCUGAUAAACGAGAAAAGGCUAGAUUAGAAGCAGAACGAAAACAGCAGGAAGAAUUGGAGCGUCAGUUGCAGCGUCAACGUGAAAUUGAGCAAGAAAAGGAAGAGAAACGUAAACGAGAAAUCGAACAGAAGGAAGCGGCUAGAAAGGAAAUGGAAAAGCAACGACAACUGGAAUGGGAGAAACAAAGAAUUGCCGAAAUGCAGUUGCAACGACAGCGUGAACAAGAAAAGGUUUUGAAAUUGAAGGCACAAAAUCAAUCGCUCACCAUUGAGCUGAGCACACUCAACGAUAAAGUCAAGGAUUUGUCGCAAAAGAUCUGUGAUACGCGAGCCGGUGUGACAAAUGUGAAAACGAUUAUCGACGGCAUGAGAUCCACCCGUGACACUCAAAUGUCCGACAUGGCACAACUGAAGGCAAGAAUAAAGGAGCAAAACCAAAAACUAGUUCAUUUAAGCCAAGAAAAGGCCAAAAUGGACAGCAAGAGUAAGAGUCAGAGCGGCGAUAACGAUCAGGCAGCAUUCUCCAACAAACAACUCCACAUCAACCAACUCAAAGGUAAAUUAGACACAACCAAAGAAGAGCUGGCCGCUAAACAAGCCGAUUGUACAACAAACGAUGAGCAACUGGACGAAUUGAAAACGCAACUGAAUGAGUUGAUAGAGACGUGCGAGGAAAUCUACACAGACUACGAUCAACAACGAGCCCAAGUAAUGGAAAUGAAGAAUAAUCAAAAGAACCAAUCAAUGACAUCUGCAUGGGAUUCGACAAAUGCAUGGCAAACGGAAACUGCUACGACUGUAAGCAAUGUCGGCAGUGCAACUAAAUCAUACGAUGGCUAUGUCAAAUACCGAGCAAUUUACGAGUUUAGCGCUAGAAAUAACGACGAAAUUACAUUCCAACCGGGUGAUAUAAUCAUGGUUCCGUUGGAACAAAAUGCUGAACCGGGCUGGUACGCUGGCGAAAUAAAUGGACACACCGGUUGGUUCCCUGAAUCCUAUGUGGAAAAAGUCGAGAGUCCGUCAUAUGAAGCUGCACCGAACACGAAGCUAGAAGAGAUACAAGAAGUAGUGGAGACAAUACCUGCAUCAUACGAAGAGCCAUACGAUAACGGUGGUGAAUCGGAGAACUACAUCGCUUGCUAUCCAUACGAAUCGAAUGAAAUUGGCGACCUUGUAUUCCAAGUGGGUGAACAUAUCAAAGUAACAAAAAAAGACGGCGAUUGGUGGACCGGUUGCAUCGGCAAUCGAGUGGGAAUAUUCCCAUCGAAUUAUGUGCAACCGGCAACAACCGAUUCCAAUUACAAUGAACCUACGCAAAAUGGAUCGACUGCUUAUGUGACUGAGAUUAUCGAACCGAAACAACCGCAAAGUAUUUCCGAUGAAGCGAAAAAUCAAGAAGAGGCCGACACAGAAGUGUCCGAGAUCAAUACUCAACCAAUCAACGACAAUUAUCGCGAGGGAACGUACAGCCGUCCUAUGUCAACUACAUCGACAACGGGACGCAAACAAAAAGGUGAAGUGGCCCAAGUCAUUGCGCCAUAUGAAGCCACCAGUGCGGAGCAGUUGUCGUUGACACGCGGCCAACUGAUCAUGAUUCGAAAGAAAACGGACUCUGGUUGGUGGGAGGGUGAACUCCAAGCGCGUGGUCGACGUCGUCAGAUUGGAUGGUUUCCAGCUACUUACGUAAAAGUAAUGACGAGUGGCCGACUGAGCGGCAGAAGUACACCCGUUUCCGGCGGAAAGGUUCAAAUGAACGAAGCAAUUUUAGACAAAGUGAUUGCACUGUAUCCGUACAAGGCGCAAAACGAUGACGAACUAUCGUUUGAAAAGGACGACAUCAUAAGUGUUUUGGGCAGAGAUGAGCCUGAAUGGUGGCGUGGCGAAUGCCAAGGAUUGACUGGACUUUUUCCAAGUAACUAUGUUGGACCGUUCGUCACAUCCGGUAAGAAGAGAUAAAUUCAUGUUGUGGAAUGCGAUAGAAAAAAACUCUUUUUUGAUUAUCCUGAUUUUGUUGAUAUUAUGCCAUGAUAAACAUUUAUCGAACGAGGUAAUGUAUAACGCGAAAGUCGCGCUGUCUAAACCGUUAUUCUCUUAGUGUACUCUCUCAUUUCAUUAAAUUAACCAGUAAACAAGAUCAUUGCAAAUAAUAAGAAAUAUUUAAUUGAAUCUAAAGAAAAAAAAUUAACUUGGAACUGUGUACCACUGCUAAGCAAAAUAGCCUAUGUUAUCGUCGUUAUAAAUUCUAUAAUUAAUUAUAUUAAAAAAAUACAAAAAAUGGAAGAGAAAUGAUGAAGAGAGGGGGGACGAAUGGGGGAGAAGAUUAUGAAGACGGAGAAGAAACAUAAAAUUAACGUAAAUUGAAAGUAUUAUAUUUAAAUUGAAAAUUGAAACAAGAAAAUAUAUUUAAAAAUGAAAAUUACAUUUGAACAAUAUUCUCAAAACAAGUGAAAUUUGUUCGUUAUUCGAAUUUCUGAGAAAAAUUACCUAAAUCUAUACUUGAAACUAUAAAAACAAUCAGUUCAUUUUGGAAAUUAAAGCUAAGACAAAAUGUAAAA
This is an unclassified non-coding RNA of Bradysia coprophila, 4087 nucleotides long. Lineage: Eukaryota; Metazoa; Arthropoda; Insecta; Diptera; Sciaridae. The record is from RefSeq and is a predicted model, not a curated record.